UUACUUACCUGGACGGGGUCUAUGGCUGAUCAAUAAGAGUCAUGGCCUAGGCUAGUGACCCGCAUUGCACUUUGUGGAUGCGUUGGCCUACCAUCUCCCUUUGAAGGAGAGUGGACGUCAUAAUUUGUGGUAGAGGGGGUACGCGUUCGCGCGGCCCCUA
Molecule: small nuclear RNA, 160 nt
Filed under: Triticum aestivum (bread wheat)
Lineage: Eukaryota; Viridiplantae; Streptophyta; Magnoliopsida; Poales; Poaceae
Also listed under: 1 other name
Description: U1 spliceosomal RNA
Rfam family: U1 spliceosomal RNA
About the family: U1 is a small nuclear RNA (snRNA) component of the spliceosome (involved in pre-mRNA splicing).
Source: Rfam by way of RNAcentral